UAGGGAAUAUUGGACAAUGGGUGAGAGCCUGAUCCAGCCAUGCCGCGUGCAGGAAGAAGGCGUUAUGCGUUGUAAACUGCUUUUGCCAGGGGAUAAAAAGACCGUGCGCGGUUAAUUGAAGGUACCUGGUGAAUAAGCCACGGCUAACUACGUGCCAGCAGCCGCGGUAAUACGUAGGUGGCAAGCGUUGUCCGGAUUUAUUGGGUUUAAAGGGUGCGUAGGUGGCCCUGUAGGUCAGUGGUGAAAUAUCUCAGCUUAACUGAGAGGGUGCCAUUGAUACUGCAGGGCUUGAGUACAGAUGAGGUAGGCGGAAUUGACGGUGUAGCGGUGAAAUGCAUAGAUAUCGUCAAGAACACCGAUAGCGAAGGCAGCUUACCAAGCUGUAACUGACACUGAGGCACGAAAGUGUGGGGAUCAAACAGGAUUAGAUACCCACGUAGUCCCUGAGCGGGCUGGCAAGGCGCAU
Molecule: ribosomal RNA, 466 nt
Filed under: uncultured bacterium
Lineage: Bacteria
Description: bacterial SSU rRNA
Rfam family: Bacterial small subunit ribosomal RNA
Source: RNAcentral